Molecule: long non-coding RNA, 374 nt
Filed under: Paramuricea clavata
Lineage: Eukaryota; Metazoa; Cnidaria; Anthozoa; Malacalcyonacea; Plexauridae
Source: RNAcentral
AUCAGGGUUUGACACCCAAAAGUAAACAGUUUUGAAAAAAUAGGAUCAUUUUAGAAUUCAAAAAAAUUGAUCAUUCACUGAACAAAUAUGAUUUUAGAAAAUAAAUAGACCAUUCAUAUAAAUAAUAUACAAUUUAAGUCUUUCGUUUUGUAUUAUCGUUCUUGUUUCCUUCGAUAAAACUGUCGACAUCAACCAACACGAACUUCGAGUCGGCCAUCUUUGUUUUGACAAGGCGCGAAAUUUAGCGGGACAAAAAACGAUAUCUGGGACAAAAAACGAUAUCCGGGACAAAAAACGAUAUCCGGGACGAUAUCGUUUUAAUGUCCCGCUGCUUCCUACCUGAUAAAGGUACAAGUAUGUGAUAAAUAUAUAUG